UUAAGUAUUUGUUGAAAUGCUUUUGUUACUGAUAAAUACAUGUACAUUUAAAUUGAUUUUGUUCUGUCUGUGAUUUUGUAGAUCUGGAUGUUCAGCUGGUCUCAGAUCAAGCAUCCUCCUCUGUACUGACUCCACUAUCCCCAGCUUCAUCCCAUUCAUCAGAUUCCACAAUUGUCCUGGAGUCCAGAAGAAAGAGGAGGAACCCAACAGGGUUAAUGGAGCAGAAUGAAGCAAGACAGGUAAGCUUUGAAUAAAUGCAUUUAAAAUACUCAAUUAUGUAAUUGUUUAUUAUUGAUACUUAUCUGUAGAAGUGUUUUGUAAAUGUAUUCUCGACAUAAAGGAAAGGCAUUAAAAAUCCUCUUAAAUUUCCAUGAGCAUGUCAUAACGAUGUAAGAUGUUUUGGCAGAAAGUUGAUUGUGUUCUGAGGGUCAUGUCUGCAACCAGGACGUUCACCAUCUGUUUACGUGUGGCAUAUGUUAGAGCUACAUGGGAGGAUUCCAUGGUCAAGUGUGAGGACCAAUUAUGCACUGGGAAUUGUGACACUUUUUCCAUACCUCCAAGAUCCUUUCUCCAAACAUGGAUAUGAACACUACUAUGAUCCUUUAGGGUAAUACUGGCUUCAUUGCAUGGAGGAUCAAGACAGUUCAACAUAACACCUGUGCUGGCUCCUGGUGUCAUUCCAAGACUGUUCUUCAGGAUGGUCCAAAAAACAGACAAGAAUCUCUGUUAACUUGUCAACAGCGAUUUGGUGAGGAGUGCAGGGAGGCGAUAUCUACAAUACGAUAUUCCACUGAUGAGAAGAUGAGCGACUUUCC
This is a long non-coding RNA of Ictalurus punctatus (channel catfish), 815 nucleotides long. RefSeq lists it as uncharacterized. The record is from RefSeq and is a predicted model, not a curated record. The transcript has 3 exons. Lineage: Eukaryota; Metazoa; Chordata; Actinopteri; Siluriformes; Ictaluridae.